UUGAGCCCGGUGAAGCAAGCACCCCAAAGGGCAAGGCUCUCACUCACUUGUGUUCUGAAUGCGGAAAAAUGUUUACAUCAUACACUGGUUUGAGGGAGCAUCAGAUGAGGGAGCGUGGAGAGUUUCGCCACACUUGCCAAGUUUGUGGUCAGACGUUUAUCAGCAAAGCUCGCUACACAAGUCACACGUUGAACCACAUUGGGGAAAAACCAAAUAAAUGUACCGAGGAUGGAUGCAGUGCCUCAUAUGUUCAUAAAAAAGAUCUGAAGAACCAUAUUUAAAGUCAGUAUAAACAAUUACAAAGAAAAUGCGAGAAAUGUGGAAACGAUUUCUUAACAAAACGUGGAUUAGUCCAGCACAAAUCAGCUUGCGUUGAAGGGCGUCAAUAUCCCUGUUAUAUGUGCACAUAUACUACACCCUACAAGAGUAACUUCAACAGACAUAUCA
Molecule: long non-coding RNA, 447 nt
Organism: Saccostrea cuccullata (small rock oyster)
Lineage: Eukaryota; Metazoa; Mollusca; Bivalvia; Ostreida; Ostreidae
Exons: 3
Source: RefSeq, a predicted model, not a curated record